GGAGGCUUUGAAGUGUGGACGCCAGUCUGCAUGGAGCCGGCCUUGAAAUACCACCCUUUAAUGUUUGAUGUUCUAACGUUGGCCCGUAAUCCGGGUUGCGGACAGUGUCUGGUGGGUAGUUUGACUGGGGCGGUCUCCUCCUAAAGAGUAACGGAGGAGCACGAAGGUUGGCUAAUCCUGGUCGGACAUCAGGAGGUUAGUGCAAUGGCAUAAGCCAGCUUGACUGCGAGCGUGACGGCGCGAGCAGGUGCGAAAGCAGGUCAUAGUGAUCCGGUGGUUCUGAAUGGAAGGGCCAUCGCUCAACGGAUAAAAGGUACUCCGGGGAUAACAGGCUGAUACCGCCCAAGAGUUCAUAUCGACGGCGGUGUUUGGCACCUCGAUGUCGGCUCAUCACAUCCUGGGGCUGAAGUAGGUCCCAAGGGUAUGGCUGUUCGCCAUUUAAAGUGGUACGCGAGCUGGGUUUAGAACGUCGUGAGACAGUUCGGUCCCUAUCUGCCGUGGGCGCUGGAGAACUGAGGGGGGCUGCUCCUAGUACGAGAGGACCGGAGUGGACGCAUCACUGGUGUUCGGGUUGUCAUGCCAAUGGCACUGCCCGGUAGCUAAAUGCGGAAGAGAUAAGUGCUGAAAGCAUCUAAGCACGAAACUUGCC
This 649-nucleotide ribosomal RNA is filed under the name Escherichia coli. Its description in RNAcentral is "partial 23S ribosomal RNA". It matches the Rfam family "Bacterial large subunit ribosomal RNA", at positions 2150 to 2798 of the family's 2925-position model. Lineage: Bacteria; Pseudomonadati; Pseudomonadota; Gammaproteobacteria; Enterobacterales; Enterobacteriaceae. The record is from RNAcentral.